CCCCCUACCCGGGGGGCCCGCGGUUAAGCCUGCCGGUAGCCUACGAAACUCUGUUUAA
This 58-nucleotide ribosomal RNA is filed under the name Xylaria sp. SL08747. RNAcentral's name for it is "partial 18S ribosomal RNA". The record is from RNAcentral. Lineage: Eukaryota; Fungi; Ascomycota; Sordariomycetes; Xylariales; Xylariaceae.